UCCCUGAUGAUCCAAUGGUUAGGACUCUGGGCUUCCACGGCAGGGUCCCAGGUUCAAUCCCUGGUCAGGGAG
This 72-nucleotide transfer RNA is filed under the name Ovis aries (sheep). It matches the Rfam family "tRNA". From Rfam's summary of the family: Transfer RNA (tRNA) molecules are approximately 80 nucleotides in length. Their secondary structure includes four short double-helical elements and three loops (D, anti-codon, and T loops). Lineage: Eukaryota; Metazoa; Chordata; Mammalia; Artiodactyla; Bovidae. The record is from Rfam by way of RNAcentral.